RNAcentral lists this ribosomal RNA (1135 nucleotides) under Staphylococcus pseudintermedius. Its description in RNAcentral is "bacterial SSU rRNA". It matches the Rfam family "Bacterial small subunit ribosomal RNA", at positions 1 to 1115 of the family's 1533-position model. The record is from RNAcentral. Lineage: Bacteria; Bacillati; Bacillota; Bacilli; Caryophanales; Staphylococcaceae.
UUUAUGGAGAGUUUGAUCCUGGCUCAGGAUGAACGCUGGCGGCGUGCCUAAUACAUGCAAGUCGAGCGAACAGAUAAGGAGCUUGCUCCUUUGACGUUAGCGGCGGACGGGUGAGUAACACGUGGGUAACCUACCUAUAAGACUGGAAUAACUCCGGGAAACCGGGGCUAAUGCCGGAUAACAUGUUGAACCGCAUGGUUCUACAGUGAAAGACGGUCUUGCUGUCACUUAUAGAUGGACCCGCGCCGUAUUAGCUAGUUGGUGGGGUAACGGCCUACCAAGGCGACGAUACGUAGCCGACCUGAGAGGGUGAUCGGCCACACUGGAACUGAGACACGGUCCAGACUCCUACGGGAGGCAGCAGUAGGGAAUCUUCCGCAAUGGGCGAAAGCCUGACGGAGCAACGCCGCGUGAGUGAUGAAGGUCUUCGGAUCGUAAAGCUCUGUUGUUAGGGAAGAACAAAUGUGUAAGUAACUGUGCACAUCUUGACGGUACCUAACCAGAAAGCCACGGCUAACUACGUGCCAGCAGCCGCGGUAAUACGUAGGUGGCAAGCGUUAUCCGGAAUUAUUGGGCGUAAAGCGCGCGUAGGCGGUUUUUUAAGUCUGAUGUGAAAGCCCACGGCUCAACCGUGGAGGGUCAUUGGAAACUGGAAAACUUGAGUGCAGAAGAGGAAAGUGGAAUUCCAUGUGUAGCGGUGAAAUGCGCAGAGAUAUGGAGGAACACCAGUGGCGAAGGCGGCUUUCUGGUCUGCAACUGACGCUGAUGUGCGAAAGCGUGGGGAUCAAACAGGAUUAGAUACCCUGGUAGUCCACGCCGUAAACGAUGAGUGCUAAGUGUUAGGGGGUUUCCGCCCCUUAGUGCUGCAGCUAACGCAUUAAGCACUCCGCCUGGGGAGUACGGUCGCAAGACUGAAACUCAAAGGAAUUGACGGGGACCCGCACAAGCGGUGGAGCAUGUGGUUUAAUUCGAAGCAACGCGAAGAACCUUACCAAAUCUUGACAUCCUUUGACCGCUCUAGAGAUAGAGUUUUCCUCUUCGGAGGACAAAGUGACAGGUGGUGCAUGGUUGUCGUCAGCUCGUGUCGUGAGAUGUUGGGUUAAGUCCCGCAACGAGCGCAACCCUUGAACUUAGU